GGGGCUGAAUUUUAAGCUCGACAGAGGACCUUAACAAUCUACGUUGCAAGCCGGUUUUUCACACCGUUACCGUGAUAAACGAAUAGAUGCAAAAACAUCUGCUCGCGAAGCUGUAGCUAACCUAUUUAAUAGAAGUGGUUUCAGCCUAGCACCAGCUUUAGUUUAAUCUAAAGCGACUAUUAGAAUUAACACCAGAUAGGUUUUAAUAGUCUUAUAUUUUUCUGGUUGCUAGCCUUAAUGCCAUUUGAGUUAAGGUUUUAAGAUUUUCAAAUUGCUAGUAAAAAUGUUUUGUUUGUUUAGCCAUUUUUACUUUAAGAACCCUAAACAAAAUAAGCUUGUAGAUAUGUAGUGUCGUUAACCACUGGACGCGGGGGCAGUACCCGCCAGCUCCACCA
RNAcentral lists this transfer-messenger RNA (395 nucleotides) under Candidatus Saccharimonadota bacterium. It matches the Rfam family "transfer-messenger RNA". From Rfam's summary of the family: Bacterial tmRNA, also known as 10Sa RNA or SsrA, is named for its dual tRNA and mRNA-like properties. Its role is to liberate the mRNA from a stalled ribosome. Lineage: Bacteria; Candidatus Saccharimonadota. The record is from RNAcentral.